Molecule: ribosomal RNA, 431 nt
Filed under: uncultured bacterium
Lineage: Bacteria
Description: partial 16S ribosomal RNA
Rfam family: Bacterial small subunit ribosomal RNA
Source: RNAcentral
CCUACGGGAGGCAGCAGUGAGGAAUUUUCCGCAAUGGGCGAAAGCCUGACGGAGCAAUGCCGCGUGGAGGAAGAAGGCCCGUGGGUUGUAAACUCCUUUUCUCAGAGAAACGGUAUCUGAGGAAUAAGCUCCGGCUAACUCUGUGCCAGCAGCCGCGGUAAUACAGAGGGAGCAAGCGUUAUCCGGAAUGAUUGGGCGUAAAGCGUCUGUAGGUGGUUCAUUAAGUCUACUGUCAAAUACCAGGGCUUAACCUUGGGCAGGCAGUGGAAACUAAUGAGCUAGAGUAUGGUAGAGGCAGAGGGAAUUCCAUGUGGAGCGGUGAAAUGCGUAGAGAUAUGGAAGAACACCAGUGGCGAAGGCGCUCUGCUGGGCAAACUGACACUGAGAGACGAAAGCCAGGGGAGCAAAUAGGAUUAGAUACCCGUGUAGUC